GUCUAUGGUCAUAACACACUGAACACUCCUGAUCUCGUCUGAUCUCAGAAGCUAAGCAGGGCUGGGCCUGGUUAGUACUUUAAUGGGAGAAUAGCUUAUUACUAAGGAAGCGCUUGAAUUUGGACC
This 126-nucleotide ribosomal RNA is filed under the name Erinaceus europaeus (western European hedgehog). The record is from RNAcentral. Lineage: Eukaryota; Metazoa; Chordata; Mammalia; Eulipotyphla; Erinaceidae.